CUCGGUGGUCACAGCGGGAAGGCAACGCCCGGCCCCAUUCCGAACCCGGAAGCUAAGACUCCCAGCGCCAAUGGUACUGCACCCGCAAGGGUGUGGGAGAGUAGGACACCGCCGAGC
RNAcentral lists this ribosomal RNA (117 nucleotides) under Actinomyces weissii. Lineage: Bacteria; Bacillati; Actinomycetota; Actinomycetes; Actinomycetales; Actinomycetaceae. The record is from RNAcentral.